GUUUUAAGUUUACAGCGGAAUGGAGUGGAAACUACAAAGUGAUCCUGUGAAGGCCGCCGCCUCCCGCAAGUCCCAGGGCCCUCAUCACCAACGUCCGCACCAGAGCAGCCCGAUUGUCAUCGCCGUGGACCUGCACGGACACAUGGGGGCCACAGGCGGCCUCGAGGUGCGCAGUGAUCCACUCGCUCUACGGCUUUGGAUGAUCACCCAGCACGAUAGCAUCGAACUGCCGUAAAGAUCCUCCUGUCGUGCUUAGCCUGAGACAAAGUGGCUGUGUGGCUGGGCAUCGCCACCAACGCUGGAAGCUGUGCAGCUCCCGCACACCCUGCAAACACUGGAGACGUACCAAGAAUCGAACUCAGGACCUUGAGCUUGCAAGGCAGGUGCAGUGCCAC
RNAcentral lists this long non-coding RNA (395 nucleotides) under Heterocephalus glaber (naked mole-rat). RNAcentral's name for it is "lncRNA (ENSHGLG00100037561.1)". Lineage: Eukaryota; Metazoa; Chordata; Mammalia; Rodentia; Bathyergidae. The record is from RNAcentral.